GCAAGUCGAACGAGAAAGCACCUUCGGGUGUGAGUAGAGUGGCGCACGGGUGAGGAACGCGUAGGUGAUCUACCUUUUGGCGGGGAAUAACUAAGAGAAAUUUUAGCUAAUACCGCGUAAGCAGUAAUUUUGAAGAUUUUACUGGAAAGAAUGCCUCUGUAUAUGCAUUCACCGAAAGAUGAGCCUGCGCGACAUUAGCUUGAUGGUGGGGUAAUGGCCUACCAUGGCAACGAUGUCUAGCUGGUCUGAGAGGACGAUC
Molecule: ribosomal RNA, 259 nt
Filed under: uncultured bacterium
Lineage: Bacteria
Description: partial 16S ribosomal RNA
Rfam family: Bacterial small subunit ribosomal RNA
Source: RNAcentral